This is a long non-coding RNA of Lotus japonicus, 962 nucleotides long. RefSeq lists it as uncharacterized. The record is from RefSeq and is a predicted model, not a curated record. The transcript has 2 exons. Lineage: Eukaryota; Viridiplantae; Streptophyta; Magnoliopsida; Fabales; Fabaceae.
GCCUAACAGCACUAGAAUCUCGAAAGCCAACAGGCAAAGAGACAAAAAGCACGUGAAAAAUCUUAAAAGAUGAAAACCAGUUAAGGCAUUCCACAUGAAGACAACCAACCAAAGUGGGGAGUGCAACGUUAGUCAAAGCAAUAAUGGAAGGGCAUCUCUAGAUUUGAGAACCACAAUUGGAAUUCAUUCCCCAAGGAGAUGAAGCUCUCCUUCAACUGCAAAGCCCCCUGUAAUUCACGGUGGCUGGUAUCGGGGCUGAGGUCGGACAGCGCUGGAACUGGCAGAGGCAAAAACAGAGGUGAGCUCUCUAACUGUGUUUGUGUUUGAGUACCAGAGCUGCUCUCCUGCUAACAAGGUUGUUUCUUCAUUUCUUUGCUCCCUGGUUCGAACUCUGAAUUCUUGAGAGCCCAUCUUGUCUUUUCUCAAAGCAUCCUUGAGCUCAAUCGGUUGGUUCCAAGUCCAGUAUGGGGGAAGUUUUCCAUUUUGAGCUAAUUUAGCCAGGGUGUGGGCACUUUUGUUUCCAGAUCUUGGUGUCCAGUUGCAGGUUGUCAGAUUCAAAAAUAACUUUGGAGAAGUCCAUGUUGAUUGCUGCUAAUACCGCUUCCCUUAGAGCAAAAGCUUCUACAAUGAUUGGUUUGGUGGACAAGCUACGUUUUGUAGCUCCCCAAGUAAGAUCACCCUUGUCAUCUCUGAAAAUUACACCCGUCCAAGCCUGGUUUCUCUGUUUGUUGAUCCCUGCAUCUGUGUUACACUUUAGAUAACCCCUCAGGGGUCUCUUCCAUAACUUACUACAAUUUGAUCUCCCAGGAUUUUGAUGAGGUUUUUCUUCGGUUGAAUUCUGUUCCAUAAAUUCCUUGUGUGCUCUGUUUAUGUUUCCUAAACAGAGCAGAGGGUUUGGCUUUCCAUUCUUGAAGGUUGAAUUGUUCCUAAUUUUCCACAUUUCCCAAAGGGUGAAACCUAAA